RNAcentral lists this unclassified non-coding RNA (89 nucleotides) under Pseudomonas libanensis. Lineage: Bacteria; Pseudomonadati; Pseudomonadota; Gammaproteobacteria; Pseudomonadales; Pseudomonadaceae. The record is from RNAcentral.
UGUGGGAGCUGGCUUGCCUGCGAUGACGGUGUGUCAGUGGCGGAUGAGUUGGCUGAUCCACCGCUAUCGCAGGCAAGCCAGCUCCCACA